CUACGGGGGGCAGCAGUGGGGAAUAUUGCACAAUGGGCGCAAGCCUGAUGCAGCCAUGCCGCGUGUAUGAAGAAGGCCUUCGGGUUGUAAAGUACUUUCAGCGGGGAGGAAGGGAGUAAAGUUAAUACCUUUGCUCAUUGACGUUACCCGCAGAAGAAGCACCGGCUAACUCCGUGCCAGCAGCCGCGGUAAUACGGAGGGUGCAAGCGUUAAUCGCAAUUACUGGGCGUAAAGCGCACGCAGGCGGUUUGUUAAGUCAGAUGGGAAAUCCCCGGGCUCAACCUGGGAACUGCAUCUGAUACUGGCAAGCUUGCGUCUCGUAGAGGGGGGUAGAAUUCCAGGUGUAGCGGUGAAAUGCGUAGAGAUCUGGAGGAAUACCGGUGGCGAAGGCGGCCCCCUGGACGAAGACUGACGCUCAGGUGCGAAAGCGUGGGGAGCAAACAGGAUUAGAUACCCGCGUAGUC
This 464-nucleotide ribosomal RNA is filed under the name uncultured bacterium. RNAcentral's name for it is "partial 16S ribosomal RNA". It matches the Rfam family "Bacterial small subunit ribosomal RNA", at positions 339 to 795 of the family's 1533-position model. The record is from RNAcentral.